This 492-nucleotide ribosomal RNA is filed under the name uncultured bacterium. RNAcentral's name for it is "partial 16S ribosomal RNA". It matches the Rfam family "Bacterial small subunit ribosomal RNA", at positions 29 to 507 of the family's 1533-position model. The record is from RNAcentral.
AGUGAACGCUGGCGGUAGGCCUAACACAUGCAAGUCGAACGGCAGCACAUUAAGAGCUUGCUCUUACGGGUGGCGAGUGGCGGACGGGUGAGGAAUACAUCGGAAUCUACUUUUUCGUGGGGGAUAACGUAGGGAAACUUACGCUAAUACCGCAUACGACCUACGGGUGAAAGCAGGGGAUCUUCGUACCUUGCGCGAUUUCAUGAGCCGAUGUCGGAUUAGCUAGUUGGCGGGGUAAAGGCCCACCAAGGCGACGAUCCGUAGCUGGUCUGAGAGGAUGAUCAGCCACACUGGAACUGAGACACGGUCCAGACUCCUACGGGAGGCAGCAGUGGGGAAUAUUGGACAAUGGGCGCAAGCCUGAUCCAGCCAUACCGCGUGGGUGAAGAAGGACUUCGGGUUGUAAAGCCCUUUUGUUGGGAAAGAAAAGCAGCAGGUUAAUAACCCGCUGUUCUGACGGUACCCAAAGAAUAAGCACCGGCUAACUUCGUG